Molecule: long non-coding RNA, 4980 nt
Organism: Scylla paramamosain (green mud crab)
Lineage: Eukaryota; Metazoa; Arthropoda; Malacostraca; Decapoda; Portunidae
Exons: 4
Source: RefSeq, a predicted model, not a curated record
GUGACGGGGAGCGCGUCGUUGCAGUCUUAACAUUUUCUCUUGUUAUCCACGUCCUCUUUGUCAGCCUCCACCUUUUCUUGUCCCUGAGUUUUCUGCUUCCUUUUCUGCAUGAACUUACACAUAUCGUCGUCUCCUUUUACUUCUUCAUCCUUUUGCUUUUCAGUCGUGAUGGUCCUCGUCCAGCUCCUCGCCACCUCACCACACGCCACCACCUUCCCUGUUGAUGCUGCGUCAACUUUAUUGUUACCUGUCGAACUUCAUUGCAGUCCUCGCCGUUGCAUUCCCACAUGCGUCGCUGUCAUGGCACCCUGGCACCCUACAGCCACAACUGCUGCUGCUGUCUUUUAUCCUGUAACAGUCCUAGCGAGGUGAAGGAGGGACGCUUGCUUCUGCGGCAAACAGAAGCAAUCCGCGAGGACGACAGGAAGGUGCGAACGUUUGAGGUGGAUGAAAAUAAUUAAUUAAUUGCUCAAUAUGUUGCUGACGAGCAGUCUUCAACGUUCGCACCGUGUCGUCCUCGUGGGUUGCCAUCUUAAACGUUUAACCUUCACCACUUUAUCAGAAGCCGCCUCCUUUACUAACAAGUAGGGACUGAAGAGGCAAAGAGGACGGGGCUGAUCAGCAAACGGAUGGAGAAACCAAGAGUAUACCAUCUCGUGUCUCCAACCCUACGGAGUGGUUGUAAGCACCGAGCAGAAUCAGGGAGCCAAGACGCAAGUAUGGGGAUAGCCCGCGAAUGCCCGGCGAUGUCUUUAGUACGAAAACUCUGGGAGGGUGAAGAGGCACGUGGCAUUCAGCGGGUGAGAACUCGCAUGUUGCUGGAAGACAAGUAAGUGUUGCAACUAUGGACAUCUACCACCAGAGCGGUAGCCGGCCAUUACGAAUUACCCACACCAUUUUGAGAUGAAGAACCGGAUCUGCCAAACAACAACAACGAGAUGGCGCAGAAACGCUUGAAGGGACAGACGACGCCUCGCUAGGGAUUCGGACUUCAGACGACGAUAUGCAGGAGAGAGAGAACAAUUGCUGUUAAAGAGCGAUGCCAGCGUCUGAACGUGAAGGACCACGAGGAGUAACCUGGUGCCUGCCUCACCAUCCACUCAUGAACCCAAACAAACCUGAGAAAGUGAAGGCUUUGUUUGCGCAGCGAAGUACAACAACGUUUCCCUCAAAGACUGAGUGAUGCAGGUUCCUGACCUAAAGAGCAAACUGGUGGGUGCCCUUCUGCGUUUCCGAAGUGAACGGAUUGCCGCGAUGGCUGAUGUGAAGGCAAUGUUUCUCAUCAAGCUGGCGUGACGUCACCCCUCUUCACCGAGACUCCUUAAGAGAUUCCUUUGGUGGAAAGAUGGGAACCUAAGGAGGGUACGGCGCGCCUACCGAAUGACGGGUAUGUCUUUUCGGGUGUGUAUGGAGUCCCUCCUGUGCUGCUUACUCAUUGCAACGAACUUUGACCGACUGUGAGGAAGAAUAUCGCAUAGCUAGUAGUUACUGAACAUGGAGGGGCUUGUACGUAGACAACUUACUUCUUUCAGUACCCUCCACCGAAAAGGCCUCCAGAUUUACUCGCGAUCUUCGGCUCACAAAGAGAGGAUUUCUGCUAAGUGGGUUAGUAGUAACCAUAAGGAGACAUAGUACAGUACUGUGUCCUACAGAGAGAGACAGGAAUAAGAAUAGAUCUGAGUAAGGACGCACUGGCUACAAAACGGGAUCUGGAAAGGGAUCAGUCAAUCAACUAGCUGUGAGGGGAGUACUGAGGGUGAGCAGCUCCGUUCAUGACCCUCUUGGACUGGUCAGUCCUGUAAUGAUUAAGGCGAAGGCGAUAAUCAAUUAAGGCGAAGGCGAAGAUCUUUCAGGACGAGUGCAGCCGAUAAGGAAGGAUGGAUGACCCCCUCCUAAAUCACCACAGGUCCUAGUUGGUUGGCUUGGCUGGAGGAGUUACCAGGACUGACGGUCUUUCAAGUUCCCCGAUGCUACAGGCGGGAGGACAUGGGAGAUGUUUUAUCACUUACCAACUGCAUCAUUUCAGAUCAAACAGGCUGAGAUGGUGAUAUUAAGAGUUGUUCAAACCACAACGUCCAAAGAGGAGAUGAACAUCCUAAAGUCAAAGUCAAAGAAAAAAAAACUACAGAGGAAACAUUCCAUCUGUCGAGUGGAACCCCUUCAUGGGUGAGGGUGGAUUUUAUACUCCAUGUGGACGGCUGGACCACGCACCGUUGCCUGCUACAAGUCGGUAUCCCAUUUCCAUGCUCAUACGGAGAGAGAUCAUCAUAUCACAAAAUUGAUUCUACAAGAGUGCAUGAGGACUUACUUAACAGUUCACGCAGGAUGGGAGCAUGUUACGUCACACUUACUGGAUUCCACACACACCACCUGCCUGAGGACCGAGAGUAACCCCCAUGCUGGCACCAUUCUCGUCAGCUGGAGUGGAUUGCUUCAGACCGUUCUUGGUCAAAGUGGAAAGAAGCAGAGUGAGUGAGUGGGAUGCCUCCACGUGCAUGACUACACACAUAAGAACAUAAGAAAUAAGGGAAGCUGCAAGAAGCGACCAGGCUUACACGUGGCAGUCCCUAUAUGAAAUAUACCUACCUAUUUUCUAUUUAUUAUCCCUAUCCAUCCAUAAAUCUGUCUAAUCUUCUCUUAAAGCUCUCUAGUGUCCUAGCACUAACGUUGUUAAACUUGAUUUACCGAGUCCGUUCCACUCAUCUACCACUCUGAGAACCAAACCUAAACCUAAAUUUUUCAAGCUUGAACCCAUUAUUUCUUGUUCUCUACCCUGGUUGCUGAUCCUAACAAUUUUGCUUAUACCACUUAAAAAGACUGACUUUUUAAUAAAAGUAUCAGGUCCCCUCUUAAAAUAACAUCUUUCUAAAGAAUGUAAAUUUAACAGCUUCAAUCUCGCCUCGUAAGGAAUACUCCUCAUCCCCUGUAUCCUUUUAGUCAUUCUCCUCUGUACUGAUCUAUAUAAAAUACAUCUUUCUAAAGAAUGUAAAUUUAACACAGCUUCAAUCUCGCCUCGUAAGGAAUACUCCUCAUCCCCUGUAUCCUUUUAGUCAUUCUCCUCUGUACUGAUCUAUAUAUCUAAUAGAGACCUAUAUCACAGCGUAGUCUACAUGAGGUCUGACCAGCGAGCGCCAAGUAUAAAACUUUAAUAUCACUUCCGGCCUUCUACUUUUAACACUCCUAAAAAUGAAUCCUAGUACCCUAUUUCACCUGUUUCUCAAGACGGAGUUCAGAGCUAUAUAACUCCUAAAUCUUAUCCAAAUCUGCCUGCAAGGCGAUGGCAUCCGAUUCUGACCUAAUCUUGCCUAUCUGUGUCAUCCGCAAAUUUACUAACAUCACUACUAAUUCCACUAUCCAAGUCAUUGAUGUAUACUAUAUUAAAAAGAACAAUGGCCCUAAUACUGAUGAUCCCUGUGGCACCCCACUCGGAUUUAGAGCCGUUUAUUACAAACAACUCUUUGUCGCCUGUCGCUUAGCCAUGACCUUAUCCAGCCUAUCACCCUCCCCCCAUCCAUCCCGUGUGCCCUAACCUCUCUCAGGAGCCUCUGAUGGGGUACCUUAUCAAAGGCUUUACUAAAGUCCAGAUAUAAGAUGUCAUAACCAUUAACAUUAUCUGCUGCCUCCUACACCCUACUGUAAAAACUUGACAAGUUUGUCAGGUAAGACUUCCCCCUUCGUGAAGCCAUGCUGUGACUGAUUUAUCAAGUCAUGUUUGUCUAAAUGUUCCCUAAUGUUCCUUGCUAUUAUUGACUCUAAUAUCUUACCUACAACUGAAGUUAAGGUUUUAUCUCCUUCCUUAGAGAUGGGUACUACAUUAGCCUGCCUUCACAUUACUGGUACCUCACCCGACUCAAGUGAUUUCCUAAAGACAGAAACUAACGGCUCACUAAUAAAGUAAUCUCUUUGCAUUCCUUAAGUACUCUGGGAUAUAUUUCAUCAGGUCCUGGUGACUUGAACUUUUUUAGCCUAUCUAUCUCCUGGUCCACUAUCUCCUCAGUUAUGGAAAUAUGUCAGCUUCUCAUUCUCGUCUGCUCUAAACACCUGUUCACUAUCUGGCAUAUCCUGCAUGUUUUCCUGCGUGAAGACAGUUAAAAAAUACUCAUUCAGAAUCUUACUAAUCUCCUCCCCAGAACUAACCAGCUCCCCAUCUGCUGCCUUUAAUGGACCUAUAGUAUCCUUAUUUUUCGUCCUGGUCCGUCUUCGCCUGGAUACCUUUAAUUCAUAAUUGCCCUUUGCUUUCCUCGUUAACUUCCUGACUGUUCUAACUAAUCCAUUAUAUUGUGACCUUAAAACUUCAUCACCUGACCUUAAUUUCUUAUAUAUAUAUAUGUACUUCUCUUCCGCCCUAUAUAAUGUUUUACCCAGCAGUCAUCCAUUUAGGGUAAUUUUUCUGUGAUCUUACUGCUCAAUACGAGAUAUUUGCUAACUGACCUGUAUGAACUUUACAAAAUAUUUAUACAAUUCAUCUACAUUUACUUCACCUAAUCCCCUCAUCUCGGCCCCUACCAUCCUCUCCACUCCCUCCUCUACUCGCCUUGACCUCACCUCUCUCAUUUCACCAUGACCUGACAUUCCAACACACUCACACUCCCACUUCCUCUUUCCUCCUCCCUUCCGGACACAUCUUCCCUCCUCUUGUCCUACACCCUCACGCCUCACCUCACCUCUCUCAUCCUGCCUUAUCUCUCUGAACUCCGUCCCUGACCUGACCUCACCCUGCAUAAUUUGCCAGUCCACUCCUUGGAGGUACCUUUUUAAUUCUUCAAAAUCUGCUCUCCUAAAGUCAGGUAUUUUACUAGUGUUUUUGCUUCUAAAAGUUUCUUCCCAUUCUAAAUUGUACCUAAUUUCCCUAUGGUCACUGUUACCUAGCUGUCCUCCAACCUCUACCUGCGUGGCUGCUUCCUCCCUGUUAGUAAGAAUUAAAUCUAGAAUAUUAUUCUCCCUUGUGUGUUCUACGACUACCUUUUUUUUUUAAAUUAU